This 722-nucleotide ribosomal RNA is filed under the name Burkholderia sp. SK02. RNAcentral's name for it is "bacterial SSU rRNA". It matches the Rfam family "Bacterial small subunit ribosomal RNA", at positions 724 to 1455 of the family's 1533-position model. Lineage: Bacteria; Pseudomonadati; Pseudomonadota; Betaproteobacteria; Burkholderiales; Burkholderiaceae. The record is from RNAcentral.
GCCCCGUGGGCCAACACUGACGCUCAUGCACGAAAGCGUGGGGAGCAAACAGGAUUAGAUACCCUGGUAGUCCACGCCCUAAACGAUGUCAACUAGUUGUUGGGGAUUCAUUUCCUUAGUAACGUAGCUAACGCGUGAAGUUGACCGCCUGGGGAGUACGGUCGCAAGAUUAAAACUCAAAGGAAUUGACGGGGACCCGCACAAGCGGUGGAUGAUGUGGAUUAAUUCGAUGCAACGCGAAAAACCUUACCUACCCUUGACAUGGUCGGAACCCUGCUGAAAGGUGGGGGUGCUCCAACCCGAACCAGCGCACAGGUGCUGCAUGGCUGUCGUCAGCUCGUGACGUGAGAUGUUGGGUUAAGUCCCGCAACGAGCGCAACCCUUGUCCUUAGUUGCUACGCAAGAGCACUCUAAGGAGACUGCCGGUGACAAACCGGAGGAAGGUGGGGAUGACGUCAAGUCCUCAUGGCCCUUAUGGGUAGGGCUUCACACGUCAUACAAUGGUCGGAACAGAGGGUUGCCAAGCCGCGAGGUGGAGCCAAUCCCAGAAAACCGAUCGUAGUCCGGAUCGCAGUCUGCAACUCGACUGCGUGAAGCUGGAAUCGCUAGUAAUCGCGGAUCAGCAUGCCGCAUAAUACGUUCCCGGGUCUUGUACACACCGCCCGCGCGCCAUAGAGUGGGUUUCACCAGAAGUAGGUAGCCUAACCGCAAGGAGGGCGCUA